Triticum aestivum (bread wheat) is the source of this 99-nucleotide non-coding RNA. NCBI's taxonomy places the organism in Eukaryota, Viridiplantae, Streptophyta, Magnoliopsida, Poales, Poaceae. The record is from Rfam.
GUAGUACUCCCUCCGUCCCAAAAUUCUUGUCUUAGAUUUGUCUAAAAUUCGUAUUUAGACAAAUCUAAGACAAGAAUUUUGGGAUGGAGAGAGUAAAAG